UCUGGACCGCUAAUCGGUUGGCCAAAUUGUGGCCUUUGCACAUUAUGCAAAAGAGAGCAAGAAACGGGUGAACAUCUAUUCUACAAGUGUCGCUUUACCAUUAGACUAUUGAAGUUGGUCAUAGAAAAUUUUGGUCUACACUAUCUGGACACCUCUUUAUGGCACUUGGAGGACUCCGUUGAGUCAUGGUGGGAUCAUCGGACCGGCCUAUCCGUUCCAAAGCGGAAGGCCACGGCCUCCCUCAUCAUGCUCGUUUCUUGGACAAUAUGAAAUGAGCGAAACUCCCGGGUCUUUCGUCACAAGAGCGCUCCGCCGACGAUCCUUCUCAACAUCAUCAUAGAAGAAGCAAAGCUUUGGAGUAUAGUGGGAGCAAAAAAACUAGGGACACUACUUGAACGCGAGUAA
RNAcentral lists this ribosomal RNA (405 nucleotides) under Triticum aestivum (bread wheat). Its description in RNAcentral is "partial small subunit ribosomal RNA". The record is from RNAcentral. Lineage: Eukaryota; Viridiplantae; Streptophyta; Magnoliopsida; Poales; Poaceae.